This is a long non-coding RNA of Lagopus leucura (white-tailed ptarmigan), 320 nucleotides long. RefSeq lists it as uncharacterized. The transcript has 3 exons. Lineage: Eukaryota; Metazoa; Chordata; Aves; Galliformes; Phasianidae. The record is from RefSeq and is a predicted model, not a curated record.
GAGAUCCCUGCCUGCCUGAGGCCUUCCAAAGGAUUGAAACAGGCCUGGCUACAGCCUGGAUUUCCCAAGCAGACCCAGAGGUGCUCCAGCUUCAGCAGUCUGUGAACCUCUUGUGGCUGCUUUGACAGCUGGCUUCCUCCUGCUUGUGCUCCUUGGACCUGUCUUUUUCCAACUUCUCUCAUGAAGAUCAGUUCAAGUGAAGACUAUCGAUACGUUUUUGCAUUAAUGGGCUGACGACUGCUUAACUACCCAGAGAAGCAUUAUGGAGCUGAAGAUUCGUGUCUUAAAUGCACCGCUCCCCUGGAAUGGAGAGCUGCAGA